Bolinopsis microptera is the source of this 271-nucleotide long non-coding RNA. RefSeq lists it as uncharacterized. The transcript has 3 exons. The record is from RefSeq and is a predicted model, not a curated record. NCBI's taxonomy places the organism in Eukaryota, Metazoa, Ctenophora, Tentaculata, Lobata, Bolinopsidae.
UCAAAACUGUUUCAGGCAGCUAUCAAGUCUCAAGAUAUGACAUAAUUUGAUAGAAUGUUAGUACCAACGCUAUCAGUGCAUUGAAGUCGAGUUCUCGAUACAGGGAGCUGCUGGUAAACUACCGUCGCUAUACAUCGACUAUGACUACAAUCCUACUUUUAAAAACAAACUACAUACAUAUCUCACAUUUGCGAGGACUACUUCAUCACAAGCAAAAAAUCGACAUUGGUAAAUAAAGGUCUGUCUUCUAUAACCACGAUGAAAAGAAAAG